UGCCAGCCGCCGCGGUAAUACGGAGGGUGCAAGCGUUGUUCGGAAUUAUUGGGCGUAAAGCGCGUGUAGGCGGUUCGUUAAGUCUGAUGUGAAAGCCCGGGGCUCAACCCCGGAAGUGCAUUGGAAACUGGCGAACUUGAGUACGGGAGAGGAAAGUGGAAUUCCGAGUGUAGGGGUGAAAUUCGUAGAUAUCAGGAGGAACACCGAUGGCGAAGGCAUCUCUCUGGGUCGAUAUUGACGCUGAGGCGCGAAAGCGUGGGGAGCAAACAGGAUUAGAUA
This 279-nucleotide ribosomal RNA is filed under the name uncultured bacterium. Its description in RNAcentral is "partial 16S ribosomal RNA". It matches the Rfam family "Bacterial small subunit ribosomal RNA", at positions 506 to 784 of the family's 1533-position model. The record is from RNAcentral.